AUACGUAGGUGGCGAGCGUUGUCCGGAAUCACUGGGCGUAAAGGGCGCGUAGGCGGUCACUUUAGUCAGGUGUGUAAACUGUCGGCUUAACCGGGAGAUUGCACCUGAUACUGGAUGACUUGAGUGCAGGAGAGGACAGUGGAAUUCCUAGUGUAGCGGUGAAAUGCGUAGAUAUUAGGAGGAACACCAGUGGCGAAGGCGGCUGUCUGGACUGUAACUGACGCUGAGGCGCGAAAGCGUGGGGAGC
Molecule: ribosomal RNA, 247 nt
Filed under: uncultured bacterium
Lineage: Bacteria
Description: partial 16S ribosomal RNA
Rfam family: Bacterial small subunit ribosomal RNA
Source: RNAcentral